AUACAUAUGUGUUACCUGUUAACACAUAUUUUGUAUGUAAUACAUAGUAUAUACUGUAUUCAUACAAUAAAGCAAGAUAGAUAAAAAAAUUA
This is a long non-coding RNA of Mustela erminea (ermine), 92 nucleotides long. RefSeq lists it as uncharacterized. Lineage: Eukaryota; Metazoa; Chordata; Mammalia; Carnivora; Mustelidae. The transcript is spliced from 3 exons. The record is from RefSeq and is a predicted model, not a curated record.